Molecule: ribosomal RNA, 585 nt
Filed under: uncultured bacterium
Lineage: Bacteria
Description: bacterial SSU rRNA
Rfam family: Bacterial small subunit ribosomal RNA
Source: RNAcentral
GUCGAACGGGUGUACGGGGAGGAAGGCUUCGGCCGGAAAACCUGCGCAUGAGUGGCGGACGGGUGAGUAACGCGUGGGCAACCUGGCCUGUACAGGGGGAUAACACUUAGAAAUAGGUGCUAAUACCGCAUAACGGGGGAAGCCGCAUGGCUUUUCCCUGAAAACUCCGGUGGUACAGGAUGGGCCCGCGUCUGAUUAGCCAGUUGGCAGGGUAACGGCCUACCAAAGCGACGAUCAGUAGCCGGCCUGAGAGGGCGGACGGCCACACUGGGACUGAGACACGGCCCAGACUCCUACGGGAGGCAGCAGUGGGGGAUAUUGCACAAUGGGGGGAACCCUGAUGCAGCGACGCCGCGUGGGUGAAGAAGCGCCUCGGCGCGUAAAGCCCUGUCAGCAGGGAAGAAAAUGACGGUACCUGAAGAAGAAGCCCCGGCUAACUACGUGCCAGCAGCCGCGGUAAUACGUAGGGGGCAAGCGUUAUCCGGAUUUACUGGGUGUAAAGGGGGCGCAGACGGCGAUGCAAGCCAGGAGUGAAAGCCCGGGGCCCAACCCCGGGACUGCUCUUGGAACUGCGUGGCUGGAGUG